RNAcentral lists this transfer RNA (75 nucleotides) under Candidatus Ryanbacteria bacterium RIFCSPLOWO2_01_FULL_48_26. RNAcentral's name for it is "tRNA-Arg". It matches the Rfam family "tRNA". From Rfam's summary of the family: Transfer RNA (tRNA) molecules are approximately 80 nucleotides in length. Their secondary structure includes four short double-helical elements and three loops (D, anti-codon, and T loops). The record is from RNAcentral. Lineage: Bacteria; Candidatus Ryaniibacteriota.
GUCCUCAUAGCUCAACGGAUAGAGCGCAGCCCUGCGAAGGCUGAAAUCGAGGUUCAAUUCCUCGUGGGGACACAA